AUGUGUCAAGAAGAUCAACGUAUUGAGAAAUAUGGAAGUGACAAUAAUUUCGUGGUGAUCAACCAGAAGGACAUUGAUCCUCCACCCCUCGAUCUCCAAGCUAGAGCAGGGUUUGAGUCCUUAUCUUUGUUCAGUGUGGCAGUGCAAGAUCAUACGGAAACCAGAGUUCCUAUGGUAGGCUCAGUCUGGCAGGCUCUGAUUUUUUUUACAUGGAUCGGGAUAUUAUAA
This 228-nucleotide ribosomal RNA is filed under the name Triticum aestivum (bread wheat). RNAcentral's name for it is "partial small subunit ribosomal RNA". Lineage: Eukaryota; Viridiplantae; Streptophyta; Magnoliopsida; Poales; Poaceae. The record is from RNAcentral.